UCGCUCCUACCGAUCGAAUGAUCCGGUGAAGUUUUCGGACUAUCGCUGCGCGCGGGUUCGCCCAAGUGCAGUGAUGGGAAGUUACCUAAACCUUAUCAUUUAGAGGAAGGAG
This 112-nucleotide ribosomal RNA is filed under the name uncultured eukaryote. RNAcentral describes it as "partial small subunit ribosomal RNA". It matches the Rfam family "Eukaryotic small subunit ribosomal RNA", at positions 1676 to 1785 of the family's 1831-position model. The record is from RNAcentral.